Molecule: non-coding RNA, 117 nt
Organism: Capsicum annuum
Lineage: Eukaryota; Viridiplantae; Streptophyta; Magnoliopsida; Solanales; Solanaceae
Source: Rfam
CUCGAUGAUGAUAUAAUCCAUGUAAUAUGAGGUGUAGUGGAUCCAAGUCCUUGUUAUUUGCAAGGUGAACCUCUUGGUGAAGCUACAUUACAAAUGAUCAUACUGGAUUCGUCUGAG